GUUUCCCAGCACUCGCUUCACAUGCACUAAAAUUGUAACCAUACAGAGAUUAGCGUGGCCCCUGCACAAGGACGACAGGCAAAUGUGUGAAGUGUUCCAUGCAUUU
Non-coding RNA from Myotis brandtii (Brandt's bat), 106 nucleotides. The record is from Rfam. Lineage: Eukaryota; Metazoa; Chordata; Mammalia; Chiroptera; Vespertilionidae.